This 460-nucleotide ribosomal RNA is filed under the name uncultured bacterium. RNAcentral's name for it is "bacterial SSU rRNA". It matches the Rfam family "Bacterial small subunit ribosomal RNA", at positions 383 to 833 of the family's 1533-position model. The record is from RNAcentral.
GUGACGAAGCGACGCCGCGUGGGUGAGGAAGGCCUUCGGGUUGUAAAGCCCUGUCAGGAGUUAAGAAAUGUAGACUCGCUAAUAUCGGGUCUAUUUGACAAAGGCUCCAAAGGAAGCCACGGCUAACUCUGUGCCAGCAGCCGCGGUAAUACAGAGGUGGCAAGCGUUGUUCGGAAUUAUUGGGCGUAAAGAGCACGUAGGUGGAUUUGUAAGUCAGACGUGAAAGCCUUCUGUUCAACGGAAGAAUUGCAUCUGAAACUACAAACCUUGAGUGUAGGAGGGGAGAAUGGAACUUCUGGUGGAGCGGUGAAAUGCGUAGAUAUCAGAAGGAACGCCGGCGGCGAAAGCGAUUCUCUGGCCUAUUACUGACACUCAGUGUGCGAAAGCUAGGGGAGCAAACGGGAUUAGAUACCCCGGUAGUCCUAGCCGUAAACGAUGGGCACUAAGUAGAGGGGUUUUU